UGACUGAAUGGCAAGAGCAGUUACUUUUUAAUGUUCAAACAAGCCAUGUUGUCAGUCAGUUCACAGACCACAGAGCAAAGGUCUUCAAUUAUAUCCACACUGGACUGGUGUGGCUGCAGGUUUUCUUUCCUAUCAAGCAGGAGCCACACCUGAUUCCACUUGAGUAAUCAGUUCAUCUUGGUCUCCAAUCAAGUAUAAAGUGUACCUCCUAUUUGGCUGGAAUGAAAAUGUGUAGCUACUCCAGCCUUUGUGGAUAAGACAGAAGACUCCUGCCAUAGAGGUUAAAAAAAAUCUGUGGCAUAAUCUGCUACUUUCAGAAUCUUGGCCUCCAACAAUGCUGAAACCCAGACCCUAGACGUAAAGGAAAAGACAAAGGGGUUGCUGUGCAUUAGUACUUGAGUUGAGCUACAACUGGGACAAUGUUGGAGAUAAUAGAUGGCUGGGCCAGUCGCCAUGGAGACUCCACUUGAACAGUACUUAGAGAACGUGCCGAUUUCUUCACGAUUUGAUAUUCCUGGAUGAGAUGACAAAGAAAACCAUGAAUAAAGCAUGGGGAAGGCGGCACAUCCUGAGCUGAACACGUGCUCACAAGGUCAGGGAGGCUGCUCGAUGGGUAUUUGUGGAAGUCCACUUCAGACUCAUCCUGAGCCACCACCAGCUGCACAAGGCCUGCAGUGGAACGAAGGACAGCCACGGCCUCCUGAUGUGAGAGGCCAACCAAAGACUGACCGUUGAUCAUCAGAAGCUCAUCACCAGCCUUCAGUCGUCCGUCCCUUU
Pangasianodon hypophthalmus (striped catfish) is the source of this 777-nucleotide long non-coding RNA. RefSeq lists it as uncharacterized. The transcript has 5 exons. The record is from RefSeq and is a predicted model, not a curated record. NCBI's taxonomy places the organism in Eukaryota, Metazoa, Chordata, Actinopteri, Siluriformes, Pangasiidae.